This 69-nucleotide transfer RNA is filed under the name Ictidomys tridecemlineatus (thirteen-lined ground squirrel). RNAcentral's name for it is "Spermophilus tridecemlineatus (thirteen-lined ground squirrel) tRNA". It matches the Rfam family "tRNA". From Rfam's summary of the family: Transfer RNA (tRNA) molecules are approximately 80 nucleotides in length. Their secondary structure includes four short double-helical elements and three loops (D, anti-codon, and T loops). Lineage: Eukaryota; Metazoa; Chordata; Mammalia; Rodentia; Sciuridae. RNAcentral also lists the same sequence under 1 other name. The record is from Rfam by way of RNAcentral.
GGGUUUGUGGCUCAGUGGUAGAGUGCUUGCCUAGCACACAUGAGGCACUGGGUUCAAACCUCAGCACCA